UAGAACGCUCACGGUUAGCAUUGUCCUCGCGACGGAAGCUCUGAGUACGCUUGGCAAGUUUUUCCUCAACACGUUGAAGCACGGAUGUAUUGUCUACGGGCUUGGCACCACCGAAAGGAUCUCUUUUAGGCUUGGAAGAUGUAGUAGUGGUAGCAGAGGGAGUAGCUUCGGUGUUGACGUUGGAGGAGGAACGAGGUUUUAAGUUAAGACGAGGGCGCUCAGAGGAUUCACGUGGAGGAAGGGGUCCACGACGAACCCAUUCACGUGGCUCUUCACGAACACGAUCGGAAGGAUCACGAGCAGGAUCACGGAAACGACCACUGUUGGUACGUCUCUUGCCAAACGGAGAUUCAGCAGGUUCAGCAGGAGGAAGAGGUCCACGACGAACCCAGUCACCAGUAGAGCGUUCUUCACGGGCAAAUGAACGACGAGGCUCUGCAACAGUGAUGCGGACUGGACGUCCCA
Schizosaccharomyces pombe (fission yeast) is the source of this 465-nucleotide non-coding RNA. Lineage: Eukaryota; Fungi; Ascomycota; Schizosaccharomycetes; Schizosaccharomycetales; Schizosaccharomycetaceae. The record is from the annotation of a GenBank genome assembly.